UGAACACGGAGCUUGCUCUGUGGGAUCAGUGGCGAACGGGUGAGUAACACGUGAGCAACCUGCCCCUGACUCUGGGAUAAGCGCUGGAAACGGCGUCUAAUACUGGAUAUGUGACGUGACCGCAUGGUCUGCGUUUGGAAAGAUUUUUCGGUUGGGGAUGGGCUCGCGGCCUAUCAGCUUGUUGGUGAGGUAAUGGCUCACCAAGGCGUCGACGGGUAGCCGGCCUGAGAGGGUGACCGGCCACACUGGGACUGAGACACGGCCCAGACUCCUACGGGAGGCAGCAGUGGGGAAUAUUGCACAAUGGGCGAAAGCCUGAUGCAGCAACGCCGCGUGAGGGAUGACGGCCUUCGGGUUGUAAACCUCUUUUAGCAGGGAAGAAGCGAAAGUGACGGUACCUGCAGAAAAAGCGCCGGCUAACUACGUGCCAGCAGCCGCGGUAAUACGUAGGGCGCAAGCGUUAUCCGGAAUUAUUGGGCGUAAAGAGCUCGUAGGCGGUUUGUCGCGUCUGCUGUGAAAUCCCGAGGCUCAACCUCGGGCCUGCAGUGGGUACGGGCAGACUAGAGUGCGGUAGGGGAGAUUGGAAUUCCUGGUGUAGCGGUGGAAUGCGCAGAUAUCAGGAGGAACACCGAUGGCGAAGGCAGAUCUCUGGGCCGUAACUGACGCUGAGGAGCGAAAGGGUGGGGAGCAAACAGGCUUAGAUACCCUGGUAGUCCACCCCGUAAACGUUGGGAACUAGUUGUGGGGUCCAUUCCACGGAUUCCGUGACGCAGCUAACGCAUUAAGUUCCCCGCCUGGGGAGUACGGCCGCAAGGCUAAAACUCAAAGGAAUUGACGGGGACCCGCACAAGCGGCGGAGCAUGCGGAUUAAUUCGAUGCAACGCGAAGAACCUUACCAAGGCUUGACAUAUACGAGAACGGGCCAGAAAUGGUCAACUCUUUGGACACUCGUAAACAGGUGGUGCAUGGUUGUCGUCAGCUCGUGUCGUGAGAUGUUGGGUUAAGUCCCGCAACGAGCGCAACCCUCGUUCUAUGUUGCCAGCACGUAAUGGUGGGAACUCAUGGGAUACUGCCGGGGUCAACUCGGAGGAAGGUGGGGAUGACGUCAAAUCAUCAUGCCCCUUAUGUCUUGGGCUUCACGCAUGCUACAAUGGCCGGUACAAAGGGCUGCAAUACCGUGAGGUGGAGCGAAUCCCAAAAAGCCGGUCCCAGUUCGGAUUGAGGUCUGCAACUCGACCUCAUGAAGUCGGAGUCGCUAGUAAUCGCAGAUCAGCAACGCUGCGGUGAAUACGUUCCCGGGUCUUGUACACACCGCCCGUCAAGUCAUGAAA
Molecule: ribosomal RNA, 1331 nt
Filed under: Microbacterium sp. GGC-P14
Lineage: Bacteria; Bacillati; Actinomycetota; Actinomycetes; Micrococcales; Microbacteriaceae
Description: bacterial SSU rRNA
Rfam family: Bacterial small subunit ribosomal RNA
Source: RNAcentral